This 421-nucleotide ribosomal RNA is filed under the name uncultured bacterium. Its description in RNAcentral is "partial 16S ribosomal RNA". It matches the Rfam family "Bacterial small subunit ribosomal RNA", at positions 360 to 773 of the family's 1533-position model. The record is from RNAcentral.
AAUUUUGGACAAUUGGGGCAACCCUGAUCCAUCCAUUUCGCGUGUUUGAUGAAUGCCUNAGGGUUNGNAAGCACGUUUGGCAGGANAGAAAUCUCGCUGGCUAAUAUCCUGCGUGGAGGACGGUACCUGCAGAAUAAGCACCGGCUAACUACUUGUCAGCAGCCGCGGUAAUACGUAGGGUGCAACCGUUAAUCGGACUUACUGGGCGUAAAGGGUGCGAAGUAGGUUCGGAAAGAAAGAGGUGUAAUGUCAGGGCUAAAGCUUGGAAUGGUAUUCUUAACUACCGGGAUAGAGUGUGUCAGAGGGGGGUAGAAUUCAGCGUGUAGAAGUGAAAUGCGUAGAGGUGCGGAGGAACAACGAUAGCGAUGGCAGCCCCAUGGGAUAACACUGACGCUCAGGCACGAAAGAGUGGGUAGCAAAC